AAUGAACGCUGGCGGCAUGCCUUACACAUGCAAGUCGAACGGCAGCAUGACCUAGCUUGCUAGGUUGAUGGCGAGUGGCGAAUGGGUGAGUAAUGCAUCGGAACGUGCCUUUUAGUGGGGGAUAACGUAGCGAAAGUUACGCUAAUACCGCAUAUUCUCUGAGGAGGAAAGCAGGGGACCUUCGGGCCUUGCGCUAGAAGAGCGGCCGAUGUCGGAUUAGCUAGUUGGUGAGGUAAAGGCUCACCAAGGCAACGAUCCGUAGCGGGUCUGAGAGGAUGAUCCGCCACACUGGGACUGAGACAAGGCCCAGACUCCUACGGGAGGCAGCAGUGGGGAAUUUUGGACAAUGGGCGCAAGCCUGAUCCAGCCAUGCCGCGUGAGUGAAGAAGGCCUUCGGGUUGUAAAGCUCUUUCGGCUGGGAAGAAAUCGCACCCUCUAAUACAGGGUGUGGAUGACGGUACCAGCAUAAGAAGCACCGGCUAACUACGUG
RNAcentral lists this ribosomal RNA (490 nucleotides) under uncultured bacterium. RNAcentral describes it as "partial 16S ribosomal RNA". It matches the Rfam family "Bacterial small subunit ribosomal RNA", at positions 29 to 507 of the family's 1533-position model. The record is from RNAcentral.